This is a long non-coding RNA of Pygocentrus nattereri (red-bellied piranha), 395 nucleotides long. RefSeq lists it as uncharacterized. The transcript is spliced from 2 exons. The record is from RefSeq and is a predicted model, not a curated record. Lineage: Eukaryota; Metazoa; Chordata; Actinopteri; Characiformes; Serrasalmidae.
GAAGGCAGCUGCCUUCUAAGGUGCCUUAUUUUGACCAAGUGUGAAGGCAGCAUGGCAUGUGUCCUUCUCAGCGAAGGCGAUCCCACAGUAUUGCUCACCGGCCGAGAGCUCCAUCGCUCCGUUCCGAUGAACACGGCGGUGGAAGCGGCCGUUUUUGCCGACCGAGGAGUUUAGAAACGCAGGAAGGAACGCUACAGCGGCGGAGAGGCGCUGUGGCAGAGGAGCGGCCGCAGGGAGGAAACUGCGCUGAACGCCCGAAAGCAGCUGGACUUGCGGAGCGUAUUUUGGGGGAAAACACAGCGGGAGCAGCGCCACAGUCAGACAUUCUCCAUGAACGAUGAAAAACAACUUUAACUUAUGUAGAAAUUCAGAAAUAAAACUUUUUUUGAAAUAAA